Molecule: ribosomal RNA, 158 nt
Filed under: Xylaria sp. AO5
Lineage: Eukaryota; Fungi; Ascomycota; Sordariomycetes; Xylariales; Xylariaceae
Also listed under: 9 other names
Description: 5.8S ribosomal RNA
Rfam family: 5.8S ribosomal RNA
About the family: 5.8S ribosomal RNA (5.8S rRNA) is a component of the large subunit of the eukaryotic ribosome. It is transcribed by RNA polymerase I as part of the 45S precursor that also contains 18S and 28S rRNA.
Source: RNAcentral
UAAAACUUUCAACAACGGAUCUCUUGGUUCUGGCAUCGAUGAAGAACGCAGCGAAAUGCGAUAAGUAAUGUGAAUUGCAGAAUUCAGUGAAUCAUCGAAUCUUUGAACGCACAUUGCGCCCGUCAGUAUUCUGGCGGGCAUGCCUGUUCGAGCGUCAU